UGUCGCCCGCAAGGGCGCAUGGUGGAUGCCUUGGCAGACAGUACCGACGAAGGACGUUUGAGGAUGCGAUAAGCCUCGGGGAGCCUCCAGCAUGGCUUCGAUCCGAGGAUUUCCGAAUGGGGCAACCCGCCGGCCGUCAUGGGCCGGCACCGCAGGCUUCUGCGGGGGGUACGCAGGGAAGUGAAACAUCUCAGUACCUGCAGGAAGGGAUACUCCGUGAGUAGUGGCGAGCGAAAGCGGAUCAGACCAAACCGCGUGCGCGUGAUACCCGUCGGGGGUUGCGUGCGCGGUGUUGAGGGAGCGCGUGUCCCGGUUCCGACGGACCGGGCGGGAGUCAUAAAACGGCUUGCCAGGGGAACAGGCUUGAAGGCCUGGCCGCAGAGGGUGCCAGCCCCGUACCUGGACGCUUGCCGUCUUCCGAUCGCGUGUCCCAAGUAGCGCGGGCCUCGUGGAAUCCCGCGUGAAUCCGCACCGACCGUGGUGUAAGUCUAAGCAUACCUGUCUGACCGAUAGCGUACCAGUACCGUGAGGGAAAGGUGAAAAGCACCCCGGGAGGGGAGUGAAAGAGUUCCUGAAACCGUGCGCCUACGAUCCGUCGGAGCCUCCUUGUGGGGUGACGGCGUGCCUAUCGAAAAAUGAGUCUGCGAGUCAGUGAUGCGUGGCGAGGCUAACCCGUCGUGGGGCAGCCGUAGCGAAGGCGAGUCCGAACAGGGCGUUUCUAUAGUCGCGUGUCCUGGACCCGAAGCGGGAUGAUCUAGCCCUGGGCAGGUUGAAGCGCGGGUAAGACCGCGUGGAGGACCGAACCCACCUGGGUUGAAAACCGGGGGGAUGACCUGGGGCUAGGGGUGAAAGGCCAAUCAAAUUCCGUGAUAGCUGGUUCUCUCCGAAAUGCAUUUAGGUGCAGCGUCGGCUUAUUGCAUCGCGGGGGUAGAGCUACCGGAUGCUUGCGGGCCCUUGUGGGGUACCAACAGCAGCCGAACUCCGAAUACCGUUGAUGUGUAUGCCGGCAGUGAGUCGGCGGGGGAUAAGCUCCGUCGUCGAGAGGGAGACAGCCCAGACCGUCGUCCAAGGUCCCCAAGCGUGUGCUAAGUGGGAAAGGAUGUGGGGCCGCAUAGACAGCCAGGAGGUUGGCUCAGAAGCAGCCAUCCUUGAAAGAGUGCGUAACAGCUCACUGGUCUAGUGGUCCCGCGCCGACAAUGUAGCGGGGCUCAAGCACACCACCGAAGACGCGGCGGCGCGUGUAUGCGCGCCGGGUAGGAGAGCGUCCUGCAAGGGGCGAAGCGGCCGGGUGACCGUGCCGUGGACUUUGCGGGAGUGAGAAUGCAGACAUGAGUAGCGAGAGACGGGUGAGGAUCCCGUCCGCCGGAUGACCAAGGGUUCCGGGGCCACGUUCGUCGUCCCCGGGUGAGUCGGGUCCUAAGGCGAGGCCGACAGGCGUAGUCGAAUGGAUGAACGGGUGGAUAUUCCCGUACCGGCAGCGAACCGACAGGACCGAGGCGGUGAGUACUAACCUCCGUCGCGGGCCGUUCCCCUCCUUCGGGUGGGGUCCGGCGCGUGGCGUUGGGAGCGUAGCCGUGGUAGGUGAGCGCAGGGGUGACACGGAAUGGGAGCCGGCCGCGGAGGUGGUUUUCCGUGGUCAAGCACGCAGCCAGUCGCACAGGCAAAUCCGUGCGGCGCGUAUGGCGAGGUGCGAUGAUGGGAGCCGUUUCGGCUCGAUAUCCGGUGGUCCAGGCCGUCGAGAAAAGCCCCGGCGUCAGGCGCGUUGCCGCCCGUACCCCAAACCGACACUGGUGGUCAGGUAGAGAAUACCAAGGCGAUCGAGCGAAUCCUGGUCAAGGAACUCGGCAAACCGCUCCCGUGCCUUCGGCAUAAGGGAGACCCCCGCGGGUGAACGGACAUGCUCCGGGAGCGUGUGGGGGUGGCACAGACCAGGGGGUAGCGACUGUUUACCAAAAACACAGGUGCAUGCGAAGGCGUAAGCCGCUGUAUAUGCACUGACGCCUGCCCGGUGCCGGAAGGUUAAGAGGAUCCGUCAGCCCCUCUUGGGGGUGAAGCGGUGAAUUCAAGCCCCGGUAAACGGCGGUGGUAACUAUAACCAUCCUAAGGUAGCGAAAUUCCUUGUCGGGUAAGUUCCGACCUGCACGAAUGGCGU
RNAcentral lists this ribosomal RNA (2152 nucleotides) under human gut metagenome. Its description in RNAcentral is "bacterial LSU rRNA". It matches the Rfam family "Bacterial large subunit ribosomal RNA", at positions 1 to 2002 of the family's 2925-position model. The record is from RNAcentral.